UACGUAGGGUGCAAGCGUUGUCCGGAAUUAUUGGGCGUAAAGAGCUCGUAGGCGGUCCGUCACGUCGGCUGUGAAAACCCGGGGCUCAACUCCGGGCCUGCAGUCGAUACGGGCGGACUAGAGUACUGCAGGGGAGACUGGAAUUCCUGGUGUAGCGGUGAGAUGCGCAGAUAUCAGGAGGAACACCGGUGGCGAAGGCGGGUCUCUGGGCAGUAACUGACGCUGAGGAGCGAAAGCGUGGGGAGCGAACAGG
RNAcentral lists this ribosomal RNA (253 nucleotides) under uncultured bacterium. RNAcentral describes it as "partial 16S ribosomal RNA". It matches the Rfam family "Bacterial small subunit ribosomal RNA", at positions 524 to 776 of the family's 1533-position model. The record is from RNAcentral.